This 438-nucleotide ribosomal RNA is filed under the name uncultured bacterium. Its description in RNAcentral is "bacterial SSU rRNA". It matches the Rfam family "Bacterial small subunit ribosomal RNA", at positions 30 to 507 of the family's 1533-position model. The record is from RNAcentral.
AUUGAACGCUGGCGGUAUGCUUAAGACAUGCAAGUCGGACGGAGUACUUCGGUACUCAGUGGCGGACGGGUGAGUAACACGUGGGAAUCUGCCCAGUAGUGGGGGACAGCCCGGAGAAAUCCGGAUUAAUACCGCAUACGCCCUACGGGGAAAGGCAGCAAUGCGCUAUUGGAUGAGCCCGCGUUAGAUUAGCUGGUUGGUGGGGUAAAGGCCCACCAAGGCGACGAUCUAUAGCUGGUCUGAGAGGAUGGCCAGCCACAUUGGGACUGAGACACGGCCCAGACUCCUACGGGAGGCAGCAGUCGGGAAUAUUGGACAAUGGGCGCAAGCCUGAUCCAGCAAUACCGCGUGUGUGAAGAAGGCCUGCGGGGUUGUAAAGCACUUUCAGUGGGGAAGAUAAUGACGUUACCCACAGAAGAAGCACCGGCUAACUCCGUG